This is a long non-coding RNA of Equus caballus (horse), 3143 nucleotides long. The record is from Ensembl. NCBI's taxonomy places the organism in Eukaryota, Metazoa, Chordata, Mammalia, Perissodactyla, Equidae.
CGCACACCCACAGAGCCCCCUGGCCAGGUCGGGGCAGAUUUGAGUUCCAGGGUCUCAAGAGGUUACUCCUUGCUUUGCCCAAAAGUUCUUCCUGCUGUCUAUUUUCUCUGCCGCCUUGAAUUCUUGGGAAGCGAACAGAGGACAGGCCGGUCCCCAGGCGGCACUGGCGCCUUUGGAUGAUGGAAUCCUUGGACCUGAGUGAGGAGGCCUAGGCCCACCUCUCCACAUGGAGCCCUCUGCCCCCUAACCAGACUACAUGUCAGGUGAAUGUCUGCACGUUCCCACACACAGCACCAGGUGCUCCGGACCAUGCUAGGCCCUGGGGCUUAAAAGAAGACUAAGGGUUUUUUCCUUCCCGUAGGAAGCUAGUAGCCUCAGUUUGCUCAUCUGUAAAAUGGGAAUAAUAAUGGUACUUACCACAUAAGGUUAUCGUGAGGAUUAAAUGAAAUACCAUGUAAAGUUCUUACCACAGAGCCUGGCAUAUGGUGGGUGCUCAAUAAGUGGCAGGUGUCAUUGUUAUAAGUGUUAAUAUUACUCUGGUGGGGGAGACUACACAUGGAGAAACACAUAUGUUGUGGACCGGACUGGACCUUCGCAAACUGAGUGGGUCCUGGCCUUGUAUGAAUUGGUGUUUGCCCCUGAACCUGCUGCUCCACCUCCGGCUCACCCCAGAGUAACCCCCAGGAUCCAGACGGACCCAUCCAUCUACCGGAGGGGACUCCAAGCCCCCAGGGAGAGGCAGGAAUGGUCGAACGUUCCCACUCUGUUACCUGGGUGCUUCUCGCCUCUCUGGGCUGUGAGCCGCCCCUGACCCCGCUCUUCCUUCCCCGGACCUGCAGCGGUGCUGGUGCAGAGGAGGUCUCAGCAAGCGUGGGAUAGGGACUUCAAACAUGGAUAAGGCAAAUUCCGUGCCAUCAAGAGAUGCUCACAGCCUCAAGGAAAAGUCGCACGUGAAAUAGACACUUGCAAUCCAGGGUGUUCAGGCAUUCCCUCUCUCAUCCGUGCACCAAACAUGUACCAAACAGGUCCUUGGCCUGAGCCCCUUCAGCCACGAGCACUGUUGUCUGUGGCAAAAUGGUGCAAGGAGCAAGAGCUUUGCAGUCAGACAGUUCUGAGCUCGAUACAGCCUUCUGGCUCCUGGUGGAAGCCACCCAGGGCUUUGCCCCUUGUGGCUGGGACUUCCUCUGGCUUGUUAGAGGGCCAGGAGCAAUGUCAAUUAGGGGUAAUGAGGUAACAGCCCGUCGGUGAGUGAGUUUCUAAGCAUCGAUUUCUCUUGCGGCUGCUGCCUCUCCAGUCAAAGCAGUUUUCUCAUUGUGUGGGCUUGGUCUCCUGGACACACACACAACACACACAUGAGACUGUGGGUCUUGGUACCUGGGUGUGUAGUAAGGGUUUGCUGUAUCUAUGGGUGCUCCGGGUGCAAAGAUAACCAGUGAAAUCAGCAGCAGCCCCAGGAAGGAGGUGGGUGUGGCCCUGAAGGUUCUGCCUUUCAUUGGCUCUGUCGGCUGGUUUUUGACUGAGAACGCACGGCCCUGUGGAUCAGGUUCACCCACGAAGGGUUAAUGCUGACUCCUCUGUCGCUCUUCGUCCCGAGGACCUGGGGAUUCUGAGCUGCUCGGUGAGCGUGGAGACAGACACACACAUAGAGAGUGACCUCCACACCAUCUUCCAGUGGGUCCAGAGGGGCAGGGCUGGAGCUAACGCGAGAGGCAACUAAGGAGAGAGGGACACCAGGGUCUUCUCCGAAGCUCUGCCUGCCCCACCUCCCGCUCCCCACUGUGGAAGCAACAGUCCCCUGCUCACCUCCCCAGAGAAGCCUUUGUGUGUAUCUGGGAAGUGCUUUGAAAUUCCGAGCGCUGAGAGGACUUCCACGCACUUUCCAGACAUGAAGGCCUGGGAGGCGGGAAGGUGCCUCCCGGGACUACUGCUCCCAGCUCUCGGUGAACACACCAAUGCUGAAACACCUUGGUCUUUCUCCUCUGUUCUGCAAGAAGCUUCCAACAAGGAGAGGAGAGGAAUGCUCCCCUACCCUCCAACGCACACACACCCCUCUAUAGGGACAGAGCAGCCUUCCCAGAUCACCCAGCCAGCUCAGUGCCACCCCAAAGAAGAAGACCCUGCCUGGGGGAUUUCAACAGGUCAACUUCCACCCAGCGGGAUUUGGGUCAGACUUGAGGAAGGACUUCCUGAAUGGGCUGACCCUGCCGCCAGGAUUAUAUCACCGAGGAGGAAGACAGGAUGCCCUCCUCCAGAGAUGGUGACGAAUGUGCAACACACUCAGUAUCCAUCAGGAGGCCUAAGGCACAGGCCCACUGGUAUGGCUGUUUGGCGUCUGAGUCAGUUCCACAGAAUCGCGCUCCCACCAACACAAAGAUGGGGAAACUGAGGCAACCAUUUGUCCAAGACCACUCAGUAAGCGAGUGGAGAUGCCAGGAUUCAAGCCCAGGGACUCCGACUCCAGAGGCAGCCUCGUGGUGAACAAUGGAGCAUCGGUGUGGAGGCAGGAGCAUGCCUGGGGCGACCUCCCGCGGGCCCUCCUAAAGGCCCCCACAGCGAGCUUUAGGUUUCCGCAUAGUGGAGAUGCUACAUGAGGUGACAGAUGCCACCACCGUCCCUGCCUUCAGGUGGAGGUGGGAGGACUGAUCUGAAGGCUUUCUUGGACACAGGACUUCUUGGGACCCUGGAGAUCAUAUGGCCACAUGGUCCAUCUCAGCCGGGAUGGGAAGGCAGGUGCCCUGCGCCCAGCCAGGCCUGGACCCACCUGUCUCUCAGCUGCGUCCCUCAUUAGAUUAGCAAAUGGGGAGGCAGCGGAGGGCUGCUUUAUCUGAUGGGAGCCCCACUCAGGCCCCCUCCCCCGGAAAAGCCUCAUUACCAGGGCCCCAGCCCCUGGCUCUGCCAUGCCUGUUUACUCUGUCAUAAGAACAACAGGACUCAGCAAGACUUCAAAGGGAGUCUCCCGGUGGUGCGUGUGCCGGGAGGGAAGGAGGGAGGGAGAGUGGGCAGAGAGAGAACAGAAAGGACCAAGCGGGUGGGGGCCAGUGCUCAGGACCUGGGGCCCUGCUCUGAGAGGGUGAGCGCCCUCUGCUGGCAGGGAUGGAGCACUGAGGCAGCGCUGCCCCGCCCCUGCCUCUGCCCCUGCCCCA